GACGAACGCUGGCGGCGUGCUUAACACAUGCAAGUCGAACGGAAAGGCCCUGCUUUUGUGGGGUGCUCGAGUGGCGAACGGGUGAGUAACACGUGAGUAACCUGCCCUUGACUUUGGGAUAACUUCAGGAAACUGGGGCUAAUACCGGAUAGGAGCUCCUGCUGCAUGGUGGGGGUUGGAAAGUUUCGGCGGUUGGGGAUGGACUCGCGGCUUAUCAGCUUGUUGGUGGGGUAGUGGCUUACCAAGGCUUUGACGGGUAGCCGGCCUGAGAGGGUGACCGGCCACAUUGGGACUGAGAUACGGCCCAGACUCCUACGGGAGGCAGCAGUGGGGAAUAUUGCACAAUGGGCGGAAGCCUGAUGCAGCAACGCCGCGUGCGGGAUGACGGCCUUCGGGUUGUAAACCGCUUUCGCCUGUGACGAAGCGUGAGUGACGGUAAUGGGUAAAGAAGCACCGGCUAACUACGUGCCAGCAGCCGCGGUGAUACGUAGGGUGCGAGCGUUGUCCGGAUUUAUUGGGCGUAAAGGGCUCGUAGGUGGUUGAUCGCGUCGGAAGUGUAAUCUUGGGGCUUAACCCUGAGCGUGCUUUCGAUACGGGUUGACUUGAGGAAGGUAGGGGAGAAUGGAAUUCCUGGUGGAGCGGUGGAAUGCGCAGAUAUCAGGAGGAACACCAGUGGCGAAGGCGGUUCUCUGGGCCUUUCCUGACGCUGAGGAGCGAAAGCGUGGGGAGCGAACAGGCUUAGAUACCCUGGUAGUCCACGCUGUAAACGGUGGGUACUAGGUGUGGGGUCCAUUCCACGGGUUCCGUGCCGUAGCUAACGCUUUAAGUACCCCGCCUGGGGAGUACGGCCGCAAGGCUAAAACUCAAAGGAAUUGACGGGCCCCCGCACAAGCGGCGGAGCAUGCGGAUUAAUUCGAUGCAACGCGUAGAACCUUACCUGGGUUUGACAUGGAUCGGGAGUGCUCAGAGAUGGGUGUGCCUCUUUUGGGGUCGGUUCACAGGUGGUGCAUGGCUGUCGUCAGCUCGUGUCGUGAGAUGUUGGGUUAAGUCCCGCAACGAGCGCAACCCUUGUUCACUGUUGCCAGCACGUUAUGGUGGGGACUCAGUGGAGACCGCCGGGGUCAACUCGGAGGAAGGUGGGGAUGACGUCAAGUCAUCAUGCCCCUUAUGUCCAGGGCUUCACGCAUGCUACAAUGGCUGGUACAGAGAGUGGCGAGCCUGUGAGGGUGAGCGAAUCUCGGAAAGCCGGUCUCAGUUCGGAUUGGGGUCUGCAACUCGACCUCAUGAAGUCGGAGUCGCUAGUAAUCGCAAAUCAGCAACGCUGCGGUGAAUACGUUCCCGGGGCU
RNAcentral lists this ribosomal RNA (1346 nucleotides) under uncultured bacterium. RNAcentral's name for it is "partial 16S ribosomal RNA". It matches the Rfam family "Bacterial small subunit ribosomal RNA", at positions 28 to 1381 of the family's 1533-position model. The record is from RNAcentral.